RNAcentral lists this ribosomal RNA (274 nucleotides) under uncultured bacterium. Its description in RNAcentral is "partial 16S ribosomal RNA". It matches the Rfam family "Bacterial small subunit ribosomal RNA", at positions 523 to 796 of the family's 1533-position model. The record is from RNAcentral.
AUACGAAAGGUGCAAGCGUUGUUCGGAUUUACUGGGCGUAAAGAGAGUGUAGGUUGUUUAUUAAGUCGGAUGUGAAAUCCCGGGGCUCAACCUCGGAACUGCAUUCGAUACUGAUAGGCUAGAGUUUGGGAGGGGUAAGCGGAAUUCCGUGUGUAGCAGUGAAAUGCGUAGAUAUACGGAGGAACACCUGAGGCGAAGGCGGCUUACUGGACCAAUACUGACACUGAGACUUGAAAGCGUGGGUAGCAAACAGGAUUAGAAACCCCAGUAGUCC